RNAcentral lists this ribosomal RNA (498 nucleotides) under uncultured Streptococcus sp. RNAcentral's name for it is "bacterial SSU rRNA". It matches the Rfam family "Bacterial small subunit ribosomal RNA", at positions 28 to 508 of the family's 1533-position model. Lineage: Bacteria; Bacillati; Bacillota; Bacilli; Lactobacillales; Streptococcaceae. The record is from RNAcentral.
GACGAACGCUGGCGGCGUGCCUAAUACAUGCAAGUAGAACGCUGAAGAGAGGAGCUUGCUCUUCUUGGGUGAGUUGCGAACGGGUGAGUAACGCGUAGGUAACCUGCCUUGUAGCGGGGGAUAACUAUUGGAAACGAUAGUUAAUACCGCAUAACAAUGGGUGACACAUGUCAUUUAUUUGAAAGGGGCAACUGCUCCACUACAAGAUGGACCUGCGUUGUAUUAGCUAGUAGGUGAGGUAACGGCUCACCUAGGCGACGAUACAUAGCCGACCUGAGAGGGUGAUCGGCCACACUGGGACUGAGACACGGCCCAGACUCCUACGGGAGGCAGCAGUAGGGAAUCUUCGGCAAUGGGGGCAACCCUGACCGAGCAACGCCGCGUGAGUGAAGAAGGUUUUCGGAUCGUAAAGCUCAGUUGUAAGUCAAGAACGAGUGUGAGAGUGGAAAGUUCGCACUGUGACGGUAGCUUACCAGAAAGGGACGGCUAACUACGUGC